This 200-nucleotide ribosomal RNA is filed under the name uncultured bacterium. Its description in RNAcentral is "partial 16S ribosomal RNA". It matches the Rfam family "Bacterial small subunit ribosomal RNA", at positions 1301 to 1500 of the family's 1533-position model. The record is from RNAcentral.
CAGGCUGAAAUUCGCCUGCACGAAGUUGGAAUUGCUAGUAAUCGCGGAUCAGCAUGCCGCGGUGAAUACGUUCCCGGGUCUUGUACACACCGCCCGUCACACCAUGGGAGCUGGUAACACCCGAAGUCAGUAGUCUAACCGCAAGGAGGACGCUGCCGAAGGUGGGAUUAGCGACUGGGGUGAAGUCGUAACAAGGUAUC